AAUCUUAUAUUCAAAAAAAAAUGAUUUUAAAUUGCAAAUUUAAAGGUGAAUAAAAAAAUUCUUAGAUUU
RNAcentral lists this transfer RNA (69 nucleotides) under Neuronema laminatum. RNAcentral's name for it is "tRNA-Cys". Lineage: Eukaryota; Metazoa; Arthropoda; Insecta; Neuroptera; Hemerobiidae. The record is from RNAcentral.